UGGGGCGUCGCCAAGUGGUAAGGCACUGGAUUUUGAUUCCAGCAUUCGCAGGUUCGAAUCCUGCCGCCCCAGCCA
Molecule: transfer RNA, 75 nt
Filed under: Metallibacterium scheffleri
Lineage: Bacteria; Pseudomonadati; Pseudomonadota; Gammaproteobacteria; Lysobacterales; Rhodanobacteraceae
Also listed under: 1 other name
Description: tRNA-Gln
Rfam family: tRNA
About the family: Transfer RNA (tRNA) molecules are approximately 80 nucleotides in length. Their secondary structure includes four short double-helical elements and three loops (D, anti-codon, and T loops).
Source: RNAcentral